Molecule: ribosomal RNA, 497 nt
Filed under: uncultured bacterium
Lineage: Bacteria
Description: partial 16S ribosomal RNA
Rfam family: Bacterial small subunit ribosomal RNA
Source: RNAcentral
GAUGAACGCUGGCGGCGUGCCUAAUACAUGCAAGUCGAGCGAACAGAUGAGGAGCUUGCUCCUCUGACGUUAGCGGCGGACGGGUGAGUAACACGUGGAUAACCUACCUAUAAGACUGGGAUAACUUCGGGAAACCGGAGCUAAUACCGGAUAAUAUAUUGAACCGCAUGGUUCAAUAGUGAAAGACGGUUUUGCUGUCACUUAUAGAUGGAUCCGCGCCGCAUUAGCUAGUUGGUAAGGUAACGGCUUGCCAAGGCAACGAUGCGUAGCCGACCUGAGAGGGUGAUCGGCCACACUGGAACUGAGACACGGUCCAGACUCCUACGGGAGGCAGCAGUAGGGAAUCUUCCGCAAUGGGCGAAAGCCUGACGGAGCAACGCCGCGUGAGUGAUGAAGGUCUUCGGAUCGUAAAACUCUGUUAUUAGGGAAGAACAAAUGUGUAAGUAACUGUGCACGUCUUGACGGUACCUAAUCAGAAAGCCACGGCUAACUACGUG